CCUACGGGGGGCAGCAGUGAGGAAUAUUGGUCAAUGGCCGAGAGGCUGAACCAGCCAAGUCGCGUGAGGGAAGACGGCCCUACGGGUUGUAAACCUCUUUUGUCGGGGAGCAAAGCGAGUCACGUGUGACUCAUUUAGAUUACCCGAAGAAAAAGCAUCGGCUAACUCCGUUCCAGCAGCCGCGGUAAUACGGAGGAUGCGAGCGGUAUCCGGAUUUAUUGGGUUUAAAGGGUGCGCAGGCGGGGGUGCAAGUCAGCGGUCAAAUUGCGGGGCUCAACCCCGUACGGCCGUUGAAACUGCAUCCCUUGAGUGCGCGAGAAGUAUGCGGAAUGCGUGGUGUAGCGGUGAAAUGCAU
RNAcentral lists this ribosomal RNA (355 nucleotides) under uncultured bacterium. Its description in RNAcentral is "partial 16S ribosomal RNA". It matches the Rfam family "Bacterial small subunit ribosomal RNA", at positions 338 to 691 of the family's 1533-position model. The record is from RNAcentral.